CCAAAUUAAAAACUUGUGGUGGAGAAAAGGGAAAGAAGAUACACCAGAUUCCCCUAGUGGGCUCAUGUAUACCUUCAGCUCUAUUGAGUCUCAGAUUAGAGUUUUGGGCGACUAUGCUUUCAUGUUAAGAGAUUAUGAACUUGCAUUGUCAAACUAUCGGCUUAUUUCCACAGAUUAUAAGCUUGACAAGGCUUGGAAGCGCUAUGCCGGGGUGCAGGAAAUGAUGGGUCUUGCGUACUUUAUGUUGGAUCAAUCAAG
RNAcentral lists this unclassified non-coding RNA (258 nucleotides) under Hevea brasiliensis (rubber tree). Lineage: Eukaryota; Viridiplantae; Streptophyta; Magnoliopsida; Malpighiales; Euphorbiaceae. The record is from RNAcentral.